UUCCGGUUGAUCCUGCCGGAAGUCACUGCUAUUGGAGUUCGAUUAAGCCAUGCGAGUCAAGGGGACUUCGGUUACCGGCGUACUGCUCAGUAACACGUGGAUAAUCUGCCCUUGGGUGGGGCAUAGCCUCGGGAAACUGAGGGUAAUUCCCCAUAGGUCAUAAUUGCUGGAAUGCAUCUUGACUUAAAGCUCCGGCGCCCAAGGAUGAGUCUGCGGCCUAUCAGGUUGUAGUGGGUGUAACGGACCCACUAUCCUACGACGGGUACGGGUCGUGAGAGCGAUUGCCCGGAGAUGGAUUCUGAGACACGAGUCCAGGCCCUACGGGGCGCAGCAGGCGCGAAACCUUCGCAAUGCGCGAAAGCGCGACGAGGGGAGCCCGAGUGCCCUUCCUUUUGGGAGGGCUUUUCCGGAGUCUAAAAAGCUCCGGGAAUAAGGGCUGGGCAAGACGGGUGCCAGCCGCCGCGGUAAUACCCGCAGCUCGAGUGGUGGCCACUAUUAUUGAGCCUAAAGCGUCCGUAGCCGGACCCGCAAAUCCCUGGGUAAAUCCUGGCGCUCAACGUCAGGAAUUCCGGGGAGACUGCGGGUCUUGGGACCGGGAGAGGCCGGAGGUACUCCCGGGGUAGGGGUAAAAUCCUGUAAUCCCGGGGGGACCACCUGUGGCGAAAGCGUCCGGCUUGAACGGCUCCGACGGUGAGGGACGAAGGCCAGGGGAGCAAACCGGAUUAGAUACCCGGGUAGUCCUGGCUGUAAACGCUGCCCGCUUGGUGUUGUCGGUCUCUCGGGGGCCGGCAGUGCCGGAGCGAAGGUGUUAAGCGGGCCGCUUGGGGAGUACGGCCGCAAGGCUGAAACUUAAAGGAAUUGGCGGGGGAGCACUACAAGGGGUGGAGCGUGCGGUUUAAUUGGAUUCAACGCCGGA
RNAcentral lists this ribosomal RNA (916 nucleotides) under uncultured euryarchaeote. RNAcentral describes it as "bacterial SSU rRNA". It matches the Rfam family "Archaeal small subunit ribosomal RNA", at positions 1 to 922 of the family's 1478-position model. Lineage: Archaea; Methanobacteriati; Methanobacteriota. The record is from RNAcentral.